CAGCUGUAGAUAUGUAUUCUUCUUCUCUCUUCUCACUGCUCUCUCUGUCUCUCUUCACUUCUUUUCUCUCAUGAUCUUCUUCAGUGCUCUCUUCUCUCUCUCUCUCUGAGUUUGCAUCAGAUCAUGUGACUGCAAGAUGUCAUAGAAGACACAGUCUUUUCUUCACUCUUCUCUUUAUUUUUCUUUUCAGAACACUCACUUUUUCUCUUUUCUUUUGUCUAUCUUAUCUGUCUUUUCUCUGCUGUUAGAAGCACAGACAGUUCUCAGAUCAACUGAGGGAGUUAUUUCUCUUCAUUCACUGUAAAGCCUUUCAGACACAGCAGCAGCAGUUUCUCUUG
RNAcentral lists this small RNA (338 nucleotides) under Histoplasma ohiense. RNAcentral's name for it is "hypothetical lncRNA". Lineage: Eukaryota; Fungi; Ascomycota; Eurotiomycetes; Onygenales; Ajellomycetaceae. The record is from RNAcentral.